UACAGAGGGUGCUAGCGUUGUUCGGAAUCAUUGGGCGUAAAGGGCGUGUAGGCGGUUUGCUAAGUCAUGUGUGAAAUCCCUCGGCUCAACCGGGGAACGACGCAUGAAACUGGCAAGCUAGAGUACCAAAGAGGGGGGUGGAAUUCCCGGUGUAGCGGUGAAAUGCGCAGAUAUCGGGAAGAACACCCGUGGCGAAGGCGGUUCUCUGGGACGGUACUGACGCUGAGACGCGAAAGCGUGGGGAGCGAACAGG
This 253-nucleotide ribosomal RNA is filed under the name uncultured bacterium. Its description in RNAcentral is "partial 16S ribosomal RNA". It matches the Rfam family "Bacterial small subunit ribosomal RNA", at positions 524 to 776 of the family's 1533-position model. The record is from RNAcentral.